AUGUUGUAUGCGUAGCGAGGGAAACGAGGUGUGACGCGUGCAGGUUCCCUAUGCCACCUGUGUGUUAUGCCACCUGUGUGUGCCAAGUGUAGCUUCGUGAUUGGAGGAAACACUUGUAUUUAAACACGUAGCCUAUAGCAAUUAACGCCAUUUGCCUCACUUACUCCUGGGGUCUGCGUGAGCAUCUGGCCCCGACCUGGUAAAGGGUCGGUUUUGCCCAGCAGUAAGCCCUACACGUGGACAGAGGACGAACACCGGACGAGCGAACGGAGACCACAUGCAACAAGUGGUGACCCCGACGUGAUCUGUCUGCUGAGGGUGGCUGCCCGGCGUGCCCGUGACGCGGAGAAGAGCCUGUGAGGUGGCGGCAGGUCGCAUGCGUAACAAUGGACCAAGUCAUUAAGGUACUUGUGCAGUUUUGUAAGGACUACUGUGGAAAAUCUACUCCUUCCCGGAAGGAGAUCGCGACAGUUUUGUCGCUAUUAAAUGAGCUGGGGGAGCUGGACUCUCCCUGCCACAUUUUGGAUUCGAGUAGGUGGGACUUGCUCACCUCGGCGCUAUGCCAGCGCGCCAUGGCCAGUCAGAAGGCUACGGAACUUAAAACGUGGGGACUGAUGUUAGGAGCCCUUAAGGCGGCCAGGGAAGAGGACAAACUUGGCGCGGUCAUGAGCGGGGAGGGAGCUUCGGGGAGCGGGUCUUUGGAGUUUUGCAGGUCCGGCGCUCAGACCACAGCGAAAAAAAACGGCGACGGAGAGAGAGGAAGAUUGCGAGAAGGACAAAGAAGAGUCGCAGAGGCUCGGGGGGGGUGCAACGACGCCGACGGCCCCUCCUAAUUCUAUUGCGCUGUCGCCGCCCCCGCCCUACCCUAAGCAGCCGUUAUAUCCUUCCUUGGCAACGACAUCGGAGCAGGGGGCGGGACCAUCCCCAAAAGGAAAGGAGGAGGGGAGACUUAAGCUUACUGAUUGGGGGCAGAUCAAAGAGGAAGUGGCACAGAAAGGCCUGGCGGCAACUUAUACACUCCCAGUUGUUGUCUCAGAGGAGGGAGGCCCAGUCUGGGUCCCGUUGGACCCAAAGGGGGUAGCAAGGAUGAUUGAGGCAGUAGAAAAGAAAGGGCUGAAAUCGCCAUUGACGAUGAAUGCCCUUGAGGCCCUCACAGCAUCGGGCCCAAUGCUGCCUUAUGAUAUUGAAAAUUUAAUGCGCAUGGUGUUGAAACCAGUGCAGUAUACGCUCUGGAGAGAGGAGUGGCAUACCAAAUUAAAACAAAUGCUGAUUACGGCGCAGGGUGAUCAAAGAAACCCCAUAUAUGGGUCCGAUAUACAGAGAUUAACGGGCAAUGCACCAGGUCUGCUGACCCCUCAAGCACAAGUUUGUCAACUUAGACCAGGAUAGUUGAUAGCGACUACGGACGCUGCAAUAGACGCGUUCCGAAAGCUUGCAAGGAGUGCUGAGCCCACUACUCCGUGGACAGAGAUCGCGCAAGGCCCCACAGAGCCGUUUCAGGAGUUUGCAGACAGACUAAUUAAGGCAGUGGAAGGCUCGGAUCUGCCCAGAGCAGUUCACGGUCCCGUCAUCCUGGAUUGCUUGUAUCAGAAGUCCAGUGAAGGGGUGCAGGGGAUUUUGCGAGUGGCGCCGGGGAGGCUCCAAACCCCUGGUGAGGCCAUCAAGUAGGUCCUAGAUAAGCAAAAGGCCUGUCCGUCUGUGGCAGGGGAGGUAGCUGCGGCGGUAGCAGGAGUGAUGAUGGCCUGUAGGGAGGCGGACCAUCAUAGUGCGGACCGACAGUUAGGACCUUGCUUUAAAUGUGGUCAGGCGGGCCACAUUAGGGCCCAGUGCAGAAUGGGUGCGGGUGGAAGCGUAACAUGUCAGCAGUGCGGGCGGAGGGGUCAUACAGCACCACAAUGCAGGGCCCGUAGGCCUCCACGCCAGGGAAAUAACAACGGGAGACAGUCCGAGCACGGUGACUUCAUUUUUCGACCUAUGCAGGCCCCUGACCUAAGUUUACCCAUGGCGGCGCUGUCUCUAAGUACCCAUGAGCGCCCUCUGGUGAAAGCCACUAUUUCUUGCACCAACCUCCCGCUGGAUUUUCAAGGCCCUCGAUCUAUCUUUGUCACUGCCCUCAUAGAUUCCGGCGCCGACGUUACUGUGGUCGCGGAAACAGAAUGGCCAUCCUCGUGGCCCGCGGAGGCCUCGCAGUCUAUUUUGGGGGUUGGAGGGGCGACCCCCUCACGCCGGUCUACCAAUGAGGUACAAGCGGUUGUGAUUAACAGGGAUGGCUCCUUAGAGAAACCGGCGUUGCUUACACCAUUGGUGGCGCGUGUCCCCGGAACUCUUCUGGGGCGGGAUUUCUUGCAACAGAUAGGCAUUCCACAGUAUCCUCUGAACACCUUCAAGGGAUACGUCACUAAUGUUACUGCUUGCGAUAACGACGCCGAUUUAGCCAGCCAAACAGCAUGCUUGAUACAGGCUCUAAAUACAACCCUCCCUUGGGACCCCCAAGAAUUGGAUAUUUUAGGGUCCCAGAUGAUCAAGAACGGAACAACACGUACGUGUGUUACCUUUGGUUCGGUGUGCUAUAAAGAGAACAAUCGCAGUAGAGUCUGUCACAAUUUUGAUGGGAAUUUUAAUGGGACUGGUGGGGCAGAAGCAGAAUUGCGUGACUUCAUAGCAAAAUGGAAAAGUGAUGACCUUCUUAUAAGACCCUAUGUCAACCAAUCAUGGACGAUGGUAAGUCCAAUAAAUGUAGAGAGUUUUUCAAUAAGUUGUAGAUAUUGUGGAUUCACCAGUAACGAGACUCGUUACUAUAGAGGGGACCUUUCUAAUUGGUGUGGUUCAAAAAGGGGAAAAUGGUCAGCGGGGUACAGCAACGGGACAAAAUGUUCCAGCAACACAACAGGUUGCGGUGGUAAUUGCACGACGGAAUGGAAUUAUUAUGCAUAUGGGUUUACCUUCGGGAAACAGCCAGAGGUGUUGUGGAACAAUGGGACUGCUAAGGCACUCCCCCCAGGUAUUUUCUUGAUUUGUGGGGACAGGGCUUGGCAAGGCAUCCCGCGUAAUGCCUUGGGAGGGCCCUGUUAUCUAGGACAAUUGACUAUGCUCUCUCCUAACUUUACCACCUGGAUAACAUAUGGGCCGAACAUUACGGGUCACUGCCGUAGCAGGCGCUCGCUGAGUCGUCUCUCGCCUGGCUGCGGUGAUGAGCUACAGCUAUGGAGUGUGACAGCCCGGAUAUUUGCUUCUUUCUUUGCUCCUGGUAUAGCCGCAGCACAGGCCUUAAAGGAGAUCGAACGAUUGGCAUGUUGGUCGGUUAAGCAAGCAAAUUUAACAUCAUUAAUAUUGAAUGCGAUGCUGGAGGAUACGAGCAGCAUCCGGCACGCAGUGUUGCAGAAUUGAGCAGCCAUCGAUUUCUUACUCCUGGCGCAGGGACACAGGUGUCAAGACGUGGAAGGGAUGUGUUGCUUCAAUCUCAGCGAUCACAGUGAGUCCAUUCACAAGGCGCUCCAAGCCAUGAAGGAACAUACAGAGAAGAUACGGGUGGAAGAUGAUCCCAUAAGGGACUGGUUUACGCGCACGUUUGGUGAUCUAGGAAGGUGGCUCGCGAAAGGUGUUAAGACGCUACUGUUUGCCUUGCUUGUCAUAGCCUGUCUAUUAGCUAUCAUUCCAUGUAUAAUCAAGUGCUUUCAGGAUUGUCUAUCGAGAACAAUGAAUCAGUUUAUGGAUGAACACAUAAAAUAUCAUAGAAUUAGGGAGCAGUUGUAGGUUCCGAACGCGAUGUGACGGGAGCUAUCGGCAUAGGGAGGGGGAGAUGUUGUAUGCGUAGCGAGGGAAACGAGGUGUGACGUGUGCAGGUUCCCUAUGCCACCUGUGUGUUAUGCCACCUGUGUGUGCCAAGUGUAGCUUCGUGAUUGGAGGAAACACUUGUAUUUAAACACGUAGCCUAUAGCAAUUAACGCCAUUUGCCUCACUUACUCCUGGGGUCUGCGUGAGCAUCUGGCCCCGACCUGGUAAAGGGUCGGUUUUGCCCAGCAGUAAGCCCUACAUGUGGACAGAGGACGAACACCGGAUGAGCGAACGGAGACCACAUGCAACAGUCUCAAAGGGAAUUCCUAAAGGUUUCUUCAUCUUUAAUGAGAAAAAUGGCCAUGCAGUGCUCUUGAACCAACUUACUUCCAUACCUAGUCAGGUCAAAGCAAAGUUCUGUCUGCACUGUCUUACCUGGAGCCUACUGGAAGACCUUCUUGCUACAGCUACAAGAAGCACUGUGUCCACAGGCUUUCAUUUUGAUGGAGGAAUUCAAACUCCUGGAGUGCAUUCGGAGAAGUUUCCUGGCCUAGCUAUCAGACAAACCAACCAGAGGAGAAGCAUUACCUGACCAGACACUCACCAUACAAAGGAGAUCAUUAAAUAUAUUAAGAGGUACUGUGAGCUGUAGUGAUAGUGCUCUGAUUAUGUUUGUGAUCUCAAGGAAUAUGGGCAUGGCAAAGAACAGAGACAGGACUCCGCACUUCAGAAGAGUGAUAUUCCAGCUGUUUAAGGAAUUACUGGAUGAGAUCCCCUGGGAAGCUGUCCUCGGAGACAGUGGAGCAGAGCAGAGCUGGCAGCUCUAUAAGGACACCUUUCUGACAACAUAAGAGCUCUCUGUCCCUCAGCAUAAGAAAUCAAGAAGAGGAGGGAGGAAACCAGCAAGAUUGAGUGAGGACCUGCUGGUCAAAAUGAGAAAUAAGAAGGAAAUUCACAGUUAAUGGAAUCAGGAAUGAGUGGCCUGGAAAGAAUACAGGAUUCCAUCUAGACAUGAAGAGAUGGGAUCAGGAAAGAUAAGGCACAGAUGGAACUGCAUUUGGUGAGGGAUGGGAAAAAUAAGAUGGUGGAAUAGAACCUCCUGGAAGCUAUCUUAAGACACAUGUGAGGCAAGGUGAUCUGUGACAAAGAACAUGGUCUUGUCAUGGGCAGAUCACACCUGACCGAUCUGGUGGCCCUCUACGAUGGAGUGUUGGCAUCAGUAGAAGAAAGAGGAGAAACUGGUAUCAUCUAACUGGAAUUCAGCAAAGUAUUUGAUACGAUCCCACACACCAUCCUUAUCCCUAAAUUGGGGAGAUAUGGACUUGAAGGCUGGACUAUUCAGUGGAUAAGGAAUUGGUUGUACAGCGUCAGCCAGAGGGUUGGGGUCAAUGGCUUCAGGUGAUGAGUGGUGUCCCCCAGGGGUCUGUCCUGGGACCGGUGCUUUUCAACAUCUUUAUCAACAACCUAGACAGUAGGAUUAAGAACACUCUCAGCAAGUUUGCUAAGCUGAGUGGUGCAGUUCAUAGAACAGAAAUAAGGGUUGCCAUCCAGAGGGACCUGGGCAAGUUUGAAAAAUUUUGAGAAACUCCUUGUAGGAAGUUUAUGCAUGAUAAAUGAUUAUGAUAUCUGAGUUCCAAUUGGGGAACACUGCUGUAUUUGUGAUGACUUGCUAGGAGUGUGUCAUUUUAGAUCUUGGAGACCUGUCUUUUGUAAUGGGAGCCUGCAAAUGCCCCCAACAAAUUCUUGUCACUGGAGCUGAACAGAUCAUCUGCAUAGUGAACUGUUAGUGCAUAAACUGAUGUUUCCAGAUACCUGCGGUAGAUAUCAAUUAAACCACAGAAAUCUAAUUGUACUUUACAAGAGCUGUAGCACUGUACUGACAAUUAAUUUCAAAUACAUUAAUGGACUUAGAGAUAGGUGCCUGUACGACCACGUGGAAAUCCAAGAGCAGUACUACCUUGAAUUCUUUCUCAAAAAUGAGAGUUAUUGUGGCCACGUUGUUCCUUGGGCUGUGACCCUUACAGUGAUCUUACAUUGGUUGAUGGUUGUCUUUCUGAUCUGAGAAAAGAUAAACUAGAUAAAAUUCCUAAACAAAUAAGAGUAGCUUACUUUUGUGUUGGAUUUUACAUGAUACAGAUGUCCUUCUUACAUUCCCUACUUCCUUUUGCUUGUUCCUAACAUGUGCAUAACAAUAUGACAGCCAUAAAUUGUCAUGACACUUAAACAUAAAGCACCAUUUAAGUCCUUUAUCUUAUCUGCUACUUGGUUCAGGUAAAUAAGAAUAAUUAAUGGCAGCUACACUACCUAUAAUCGUUGUUAUGGCUCUGAAUUAGCUGAUUUUCUGUUCCAGAACCCCAGGGUGAGAGGCAGAAUGCUGGGGAGCAUGAGGGAGAACUUACCGAGUGUCAGCUGAGAUUCUGUGUAUGGAAAUGGAUGUUAGUGAAGGUUAGGACCUAGGACUAGGACAAGGACUGCUAUCGCUACUGCUUUAUUUCUUGUAGUCUGCAGUGCAGAAACAGUGAGCAAUCUGAAAGACUGACUGGCAGUGAGAAUCAUAGGGAAGAGGAAAAAAAGGGACAAGGAACAUAUAAUGCUCCAACCCUCCUCCCCACCUCCAAGUUAAUUCAGUGUGGGCUUUUCUUGAUCAAAGUUCCUACCCCACAAUAUAUUGUAAUUUAUGUGUGUCUGAGGCGUACAGUAAUGCUGAGCUAAUGUGGUUUUGUACUUAAGUAAACAUGUUUUCAGAGUUGCUAAUGCAUGACAGAAAGUGCUGGAUCGAAGUCUUUCCUGAAUUAGAAGAAAGAAAAACAGCUAUUAUAAAAGGAGAAGUGUGCCUGACUGAGUAAUGCUGUAUCAGAAAGUCUGCAAACAAGUAUCUUAGUCUUUGAUAAGGAUCUAUUUUUAUUAAUUCCUGGGCUGAAAACCAAAUAUCCCUUUUUAACCUGGGAUGUUCUGUAGAGCACACAGCUAGUGCUUUUCAAAUUUUUAUCCUGUUUCGUAAGGGUGGUAAAAGACAAUCCAUUUCAGGCUUUAGGAAUGUAAGACACAAACAUCCCAAAUAGGUUUUUAAUUAAACAUAUAUUACCUUAGUUCAUGAUAAAAGAGUAAACAGUGAUAUGUACUGUUAUGGGUAGGAUAUAAAUCAAAUACAACUACUAUAUUUCCAUAUCUAGUGGAGUCUCAGCAUUUUUUUAAUCUGUUUAUCAUGCAACUGAUUAAUAUAUCAUUAAACAAAAAAGGCAUGUUAUUUCUCAUUGUGAAAGGUCCUUUCAUAAUGUUCUUCUGGAAAUCUACUUGGGUAGAGGAGUAUAUCUGCAUACGUGACAGCACAGACAUGAGGUCUAAGUCCUACCAUUAGUGGCAUUUUCCUGCCAUUCUCUUAAAAUGAGAUAGUGAAAUAAAAUACUGACUUUGUUUGAUGUAUUUUUUAUGUAUGUUCUAAAGCACUUCAUCUGAUAAACUAUCAUGAGAAAUGGACCUUCCAUAGCAUUUCCUAAUACAGCACAUGGUUUGGAUCUAUAAAGUAAACCACAAUAAGAAAACCACGUGUUAACAGUGUGGGAACACCAAGAAGAGAAACCUUUCUUGCUGUGUUUUCAAUAUGAGAUUUCUAGAUAGACUAGCACCACUGAUGUCUCUUUCAUCAGUGAGAUAGAUCCCCAUGCUUGGUCAGAGUAACAAAGACAGCUUGAACCAGAAAAGUUAGAAAAUGGAGUGAAGUAUGGGGAAGGAAGCUUUGAUGUAAGCUGAUGAGCUCAGUGGGUAUUUCAUGGGUUCAUGUGUAUAGUAUCCUCAUACUAUAAUGAUGGAGAAGUUUGAAACUGAAAAACAAACAUAUCCAACAAAUCUCAGAGUAAAAACCCAAGUGGCAGAAUCCCUACUUUCCCAGAGUUAUGAGAAACACCGAGUUACACGCUGAGGAUCCAGACAUCAAGCCUCAGACAGCAUUAGACGAUUUCAAAUAAAAGCUAUCCAGUGCAAAAAUAACAGUGAUGGCUUAAGAAGUCCUUCAACCUUCAAAUCACUAGGGAAAAGAGGAGAUUAUUUUGGAGAUGUAAUACUGUGCGCUCAAUCUGAUUUUUCCAUUCUUCUCUGGACAGCCACUGCUAAAGGCAAGAUAAAUUUACCUGAAAGACCUUCUAAGUUACCUUGUUGGCUUGUUUUUAUCUUCUUUUUUCCUAAAUGUAAGUGUGAAAACAAGUAACACCUCACAAUUUGCAGACAGGGAAGAAAUGAGUGUAAAGAAAAUGCAGCAGAUGUGAGCCAAGACAGCGUCAGCUAGAGCUUCCUCCUUGAGUGUAGACCUGAUGCCAGCAGACGGGUAGUAAUUUUGUGACAGUAUAAAAACUCAUAGUCACUGAGAGGGUACAAGCACUUCCUAAAUACACACACACAAAACACAAUCAAAUCAUGAGAGUGGCUGGACCACAAGAUUAUCCACUGCUUGAAGCGAAUGAAGUCAAUGUGAGAGAUAAGAGUAUUCCGACUUAAGCACAUGCUUAAAUUUAUUAAGGCACUUAAAGUUAGGUGCGUGCUCAAGUGCUGUUACUUGAAUGACAAGUGGGUUUAAAGCAUUUUCCCAAGUUGGGACUUUGCAACAUUGAUAGUCAGCUAUGCAACUGGUGAAACUUAAAAUAGAUGCAUGCACACACAAAAAUGCAAAAAAGAGAGUUUCUUUUUAUGUCUGUCUGCUAUGCUUAGUGGGCUUUCUUGGCUAAGUCUGAGCUAAAUAUUACUGAAAAUAGCAUAGUACUGUAGUUAUUUCAAAGCACUGUCUGUAUUUGUUCUGUGCACUGGGUGGGCAGGAAGCUUCAUUUCAUAAAUCACUUUCAACGAGACAGUAGACUAUAAAAAGGGAGCGUUUUUUUCCCUUCAGUGUUUUUCAUUCUCAAGGUUCUGAUCUGGUACAGCCUACAUACUGGGAAAAGUUCAAAAAAUGUUUCCCACUGCUCUGCAGACCUUCCCUUGCACACAAGGGAUCUAGGGAACCACCAGCAGGCACCCCGUGCUAGUGAGUCCCCCAGGUCACGGUGCUUAACUUGCUAUGAGGCAUUUGUCAGCAAAACUGCCGAAGCAUCGUCCCAUUCCCAGCUCCAUGGAAAGGCCUCCACAAGAAGUUUCACAGCGCACUGUCUACACAGGGAACCUGUCUGGUCAAACCAUUGUCCAGCAAAAGAAAACAGGUUGGUUUUCAUGGGAGACGUGCAGAGAUGUGCAGGAAGGAGCAGUAGGGGAAAAGGGGUGAGGAAGAGGGGGGGAGAAAAGCUCGAAUGAUCCAUCAUUUCUCCUUAUAAAUUAUUUGUUAAAACUUUGUUAGAUUGAGCUUUACACUCAAAAAGGAGCCAAAUGCUCCUUGUGGUACUUACUGGGAACCAAAGGGUAAGAGAGACAGAUAUAGUCAUUCACCUGCAGCAAGGGAAAAGUUGCUGCCUGAUUCAACCCACUGAGUCACAACUUUUCCAUUUAAUAUUAAUAAAAAUGGGGUUCCGCACACCAGUACCUAAAAUGCGCCCCUCAGUUUUGGCACUAUCUGUACAUGGGUUUCUAAAGUACUACAGAGAAAUAGUAUCACUGAGUGAGUGGGCUCUACUUAGGUUGGUUGUUUCUCCCCAGCCAGCCGAACUUCUACAGAACAGGGUUUAGGAAGCUCAGGAAAUUCACACCUGCUACAUGUCACACCAAACAUAAUACAGGAACAGCCAUACCGAGUCAGGGCCUCAAAUCAUCCUUUUAAGUCUCUGUUUGUGACUGUCCCCAGAGCUGAAGGCCUCAAUAAAGCACAACCAGCAAUUUUAGCAGAAGCCUUUCCCUGGGCUGCCCUCCCAUCUAUUGGCACUCCACAGCUCACCAGUCUCCUGACCUAAAAGUUGCAAACAAGCUGCUUGCUGUUUCCCACCCAGAAAGCUUCACACUGUUUUGGAACAGCACAUGUCUUCCAUGUUUGCAGUAAGUCCCCAUGCCAGGUCCAAAGCAGGACUCACUGUGGACUCGCUCUGCAUUUGGUGUCAGUGGGUUUAGAAACACAUUCCUCAAGUGCAGCACACUACUAGGGUUCUUGCAGUUCAGGGAUUAAAACAGCUGCAAAGGCUCACUCUGAUCAGAGUGAAUCUAUUUUAUGUAUUCUCCAAGAAGUUUAAUCUUCUAUUUUUUUAAAGAACAGAUUGCUCUCAUUUUGGCAGAAAAACUUGUGUAAGGAGCUCUGGGACAAACAAUAGCAAACUUGGAAUGCUUAAUUUUGAAGCAGGAUUUACUAUUCUUUUUACCCUACAAACUCAGUCUAUGAAGGGGUAAAACAUGGUUGCUUAAAAUAAUUGUAAUUACUCCUCCAGUUGAAUCCAAUCAGGUGGAAUGGAUACUUAAGCAGAGUGUUAAUUAUGAUACCACCGAUGCUAGAGAAAGAAACCUAACUAAAAUCUAAGGCUACGUUCAGUUUACUGCAUGGAUUACACACAGGAUUACACUUUAAAACCACUGCAAGGUUGAAUGAUUUGUUUCAAUCCAAAUACCAUUUUUUUGCACAGUAUUAAGGGAAAUUUUGGAACUGGUAAGCAAGGUAGUCCACAGGAUUGUCCGCAGAGUACUUUGAAUUUGCAAGUAACCAUUUGUAAAUACCAUUUUGUAGACACCAAAACAGAAGCAGCAGCUGGACAUUGAACCUAAAUUAUUUUCAGUUAGGCUGAUGCAAGCAUGCAUACUGCUUUCGUUAGCUGAGACUACUCCAGCAUGUAAGACAACUUGAAGAGAGUUCAUGGCAGAUUACCACCCUUGAAGUUUAGAUUAAUGCUCCAUAUUUAGAACAAAGAUGCACUGGAGGAAUAAUUUUUAAAAAAUUAUUCCAACUCCAGCUUUCUAUGAUUCUAACUACUAGCAACCAUUAGCAACUUGCAAGGCUUGCAGGAAUUCUCAGUCUGAAUGCAACACAACUCCAAAGCUUUUCCUUCUGCAUGGCAGUAGUACUCACUGACCUCAGCCAGAAUUUCUGAGGUUCUCUACUGUUGUUGAGAUCUCUCUUUGUUGCAUUAACUGAUUCUGCCUCAAAAGGGAAAGUGCCCUUUAUAGGCAGAUUAAAACUUUCAAUUCUCUGUGGUAAUUAUUAAAUGAAUCAUGAAACUAAGGCUGCCAGCUGUGCCACGUUAAAUUGCACUCUCCCACGUUCAACAUUCUCUUGCUGAGCUUAGCUCAGAAAGUUUGUCAUUGGAUUUCCAUGAAUUUUCCAAGUAUUGAAGUUUGCUUUUAAAUUCUCUUGCAAUCAUGCAAUCCACACAAUAAGACUAAGCACUGUAAUUUGAUUAACAGAAAAUGAAAAUGAGCUAUCUAGAAAACAGUUUUAGUGGUGAUAUAUUGGCUAACUUCUGUGUGGCUCAUUUUGCAUCACUGUGCUCAGAAAUAAAAUGAAGUCUUUGAAAAUUAAAGCCAGAAAAAUCUCGCCCCAAACCAAGACUCUGAAAUGUAAAAUUAUUAGUUCAAGCUGAGUGAUAAAUGGCAGAAGUUUUCUGUUUUCCACAAUGGUGUAAACAGCUAGUUCAGCAGUGUUGUUGCUAUUGUUACGUAUUUAAAGUUGAAACCUGCUAUUAUAUAUCACAUUACAAAAAAGAGCUCUAGGUUAGACAACAUUUCAGCUUUUCUGUUCCUUAGACUUGGAUCUCAGGCCUAAAGGGAAUAUAUGUAAGACUGUAGGUUAUCACAUUUUACAUAAUAAUUUUGUCCCGUAUAUCUUGAUGGGUGGGGUGUAAAGCUAUUUUUCCCUACUCUCCUGAACAUGCUAGAAUAGUGGAUUUACAUCUUGAUUUUCCGUGCAUCUGUAGAAACAUUCAUUGUACCACACAUCACGUUUCGAGAUCUGGAUAUGCUACAUCGUAUUCUGUCUGAACUCAGGUUGUCCAUUAUCAUAGAAUCACAGCAUCACCAAGGUUGGAAAAGACCUCUAAGAUCAUCCAGUCCAACCAUCCACGUAUCACCAGUAUUUUCCACUAAACCAUGUACCCUGAUACAGCACCUAAACAUUUCUUGAACACAACUGUUCUCUUAUUAUUCUCUUGAAGCCAAAACUACCUGAAAAAUGCUGUGGCUUGGAAAAUGCACAUUUUAUCAUUGAGAUGUCACAUGAGACUUCGUCGGAAUUACUGUGAACUGCACAACCCUACUAAUUGCUUUUAAAAUAGUACCACUGAAAGUCAUCUGCUGAGCCAGCCUUGCAAGGCACAUUGAGCUCUGAGUGCUGAAGUGUGUGGCACAGGCAAGUCCCACCAUGGAAACAUGAUUCGAGACCUUCAACAGGAGGAAAUAUCUUCCAGCAGGGAGAGAUAAAGAGGAGCACUGCAUCACUCACAGUUUCUCUGCCAAGGGAAGCCUUCAGGAAGCAGUCUUCCUUUUGCUCAGAAAAUACGAAACAACGCUAUGAAAGCAAUUUAAGGAACUAUCUGGGAAGCAGCUUAAGGAAAAACACCACCUCUCCCAUGUAGACAGUUAAGGCACUGUGUUUACAAGAUGCGUGCUGAGCUCCCCUCUGGCUUAGCUGAGUGGAAGAAGAUGACCAGUCUAAAUAUAGUAAAAGGAGAUGCAGUGUGUUACAUACAGCCCAUGUAGCUUGUUCAGUCGAGAUUAAUUCAAUGAGGCAGACAGGAAGGUGACAUGCAUGGCUGGAGUGUCUUGGUCAUUUUAAAAUCAGUGUUUUACAUCUAGAUUUCCACUGCCCUAGAAUUCUUUGAACUGUUUCUACGCUUGAUAUGAUUUUCCCAUAUGAAGUGUUCAAGACCUAAGAAAAUGUAACAGAAAGGGCCUCUUAAAUCUACAUAACUCACUCUGCAAAUACAGGACUGGUCUAUAAACCUGCCCACUUCAAGGCUAUUGCACACAUUCCCUGUUUUAGAACCUGCAGAGCCAGUAUCCUCACUCUCUAUUCUUAGCUCAACGUUUCAUACAUCUUAUAAAAGCUGCCUAGAUGUGCACUCAAAAAUCACUCCAUUUUAAUUUGAACCCAGUUUAAGUUAUUGAGUAGCCAGAUGCAAUUAAUCAAACAAUACCUCUCUCCCUGAUGAGAUGACAUUCUCCACGCAUCACUCACAUCUUCCUAACGAGAGGGGCCUAGUUCAAGAUAGGUAUUUAUACAGUAACUGACAUCUCUGUUGAUAAUAAACUUACACUAAACGAGCUUUUCGAAAUCAUAAAUCUCUAUCUUAAAGUGUUCAUCCCCUUUUCAUUCCUACUGAACUGAGAGGCCAGCAAGCUUGCAGUGUGUUUCAUAACUUUGAUUGCUCGUGCUGUUCACUUUCUGAUAAACUAGAGAAUCACCAUUUCUCUUUUGUCUGAGGCAUAUUUUAAGUAGAGCUUGUUAGGAUGAGGAGAUGAUAACCCAGCUGCCUGCUCACAUUUUCUCACAACACAAAACAACACAGUAGUAACCUAUUUGUUGCAUUUCCUGCUUAAACACAUGGAUCCAUUUUGGAAAGAGUUAAAGGAAAUUUUAAAGUUGCUGAUACUCUUGGAAGCUGCUGAUUCUGCUCUGGGCUACAACAGCUUAUGAAAGGAGGACAACAGAGAUCAGACCAGAAAAGAAAGGAAAAGGACAGGGAGGUGAUGGAGAGAUGGCAGAGCUGUGAGGCAACGCAUUCUGUAAACUGUUUCCUCCUGUGACUUGCUGGAAGGUAUAAUCAGUCAUCCGCUGCUCGUUUUUGUGUGUAUGGUGUGUGUGUGUGUGUGCAUGUUUUUUUUAAACACCCAUUGCAAUCCCUCAAGACUACACUCCUAGUUUUACUUUUUUUGGUGGUGAUAGUGUAUGUUUGUGUAAGGGGUGUCAGGGGACUGAAAUUGUGAUACCAACUAGCAAUUUGGGUGUGUGGGUGAAAAUUAACUGUUGUAGUUGGUUAUUUUAUGGGCCCAAAAUAUGGCUGUUAAAAACCCCAACAUUCACCAUAUGAGCUUUCUGUAUCCAGACCAUAAAAUGUCUGGGAUACAUAGACGGGAUCCAAGCCGACUUCCUGCCAUGAAAUUGUGCUUCACUAAUGAUCACUCCAGCCUGUUUUCUAAACUUGGAGACCUCUUGUUUUCCCUAGAGGAUACUACAUUGUUUGUCUUUGGGAAAAAGUGUUUGUGUGCUACAAUUACGAAGUUUAUAGAACUUAAAAAUUCACCCGAAAUGGGACUACUACUUUACACAUAGUUCAACUUGGGUACGAAAAGGAAAAAUAAAGCUACAUUCAAAAGCUGCAGGAAAGCACAAAGGUAAGGGGUGAAGUUGUUGUCUAUCAAAAAUAUAUUUUAACUAAGUGCUGUCAGUUCUCUGAUGGACAGGAGUCUUUCUCCUUCCCCGCACCCUCGUUAUUCCUCUCUCAAAUGCACCAUUUCCCCAACGUACCCAGACACUGCUUUCCUAAUCAAAUAUUUGAAAAGAUGUCACUUUUAUACUAGGAUAUUCUAUGUAUUAUUAUAUAGAAUAUAUACAAUAACUUACAUAUCCUUUAGUUACAUUAUAUAUACUUAUAUAUGCUAGAUACUGCACCUUCUGAACUGCUGUUCAGUGAGCCUCUAUGGAGAGGCUUCUGAAACUGCAUCUCCGCUAUCUGAUGGAUUGCAACCCAAAGAUCUCAGUUGAAAGUACUCAUGCAAUAUGCAAAGAGACUUCGUACAAAGCAAAACAGAAUAAAAUUUUAAAUGCAAAAAUACACAUUCCUUCCUUCGUGUCUCAAAGUACACUGAGAAAGUGUAUCAUCACUACCCUCGUUAGGGCUCUGAGCUGCCUUUGGAGAGGCCAGUCAUUUCUAUGUACGUAUGCUUGGGAGACUGCAACGGAAAGAGUGUGAAAAGGUCAGAUCAGAAAAACGACCAGGGAAAGAAGCAGGUACCUCAGUGAUGUAAUUACCUGUGGCUUAGGCGCUACCUGGCGGUGUUAUCUAAAAGCUAAAUACAUUUUUAAUAAUUUUGAUUAAUCAGGGUAUUUUUCUAGUGCUAGAAGGAUCUAUAUUUAAAUUUCAGCUCAGCUGUGGCUUUGAGGGUCAAAUACAACAUUUUUUUUAUUUCUUUUAAUUGGGAAAGUAGGGUAAUUAAUGCCAUGGAUGGGCGUAUGUGACAUACUGAAUGCUGCAUUAUGCACAGUAAACACGAGUGACUGCGGCCACAGUGCAGGAAAUGCAGAAAGCAAGGCUCUUCUUAAUUCUGUUCACAUACUUUAAAAUAUAGUUGCGUGUAUAUAUAAACAAAUCUAUAUAUAUUAAAUUCAAAUUGCAUUGGCUCUCAUGCAGACUCGUGCAACUGUCAGAGUCACAUAUGAUGCUCCAUAAAACACAGUGCUAGUUAAGAUAGUUCCCUGCUUCUCUGGCUGCUCACACCUGAGGAAUGAAAACACUUUCCAGCAACAUAUAAUUCAGAGUAGUUUGGAUGAGAUUUUUAAUUUGGUCACUCCCUCUACUGGAGACUUUUUGCCUAGGUCUUAUUCAGAUGUUGAUCACGUUAUCAGGCAAUGAACCCUCUCUGUAAUUUUUCUUAUAAUUUCUUUAAAAAAAAAAACAAAGCUUUAUUUAAGGCUGGUGUUGGUGGAUUUUUGUUUGUUUGUUUUUAGGUUUCCAGAGUGCAGGUUGGGUAGAGCUCUACGUGCAGUGAAAUACAAUCAAAUUGCUUGUCAUGACUCUGUCCUAACACACGGUCACACAGUAAGGCAGUGAAAGCUUACUCCCCUAUUCUUUUCAGUGUUGCUUGGUAAAAACCUGAAAACUGAGCAAAGGACAUUGAAGGCUAUAUCACAAAGGGUUCUAGCUUAAGGAGCAGAGACGAUGAGAUUAUUAUGCAUUUUUGUAACCUAUUUGACCUUCAUUGCCUAAACUGAGCAGACUGGGCUUGCUUUGAAGGCCUUACCACCUAUGCAUAAUAUCGAGCCUAGGGAUAGAUAUGUGUAAAUGGUAAAAGCCUAGACAAAGUGUAAGCAGAGUGCAAUUCCAGCCUGCUUUGCUGAGGGAUAUUGAUAAGAUGCAGUAAUAUAAGCAAUGGUCAAAAUGUACCCCAGUAAAUAUAAUUAAUUCCUAACCUGACUAAACAUUGCCGCCUCAGUCACAGAGAUAGACUGAUGCAAAACUUUUUUCAUAGCUUAGUCUGCUAUCAAAAAUGGAAAGACUGGGGUAAUCCAUGAAUGGUCUUGAUGGGAAAUAGUUAAUUCCUAUAAAUUCAAAACCUUUUCAACAGAAAAACUACUCAAUGACAGUACAGCAUUUCUGUUGUUGUGAUGUAUUUAAACAUCUGCCUCUUUGGUCACUCUCACUACAACACUAACCAUGCUCAGAAAUUGCACGUCUUGAGCACUGCAAGCUUUUCUUAGCUAGAUUUGGUUAAGCAAGGACUGUGUUUAAGCCAGGGGCAAGCCUCUGUUAAACACAGGCAUGCAUUCCCAACUGUCUUGCUCUCAGAUUGCCAGUGGAAGUUUUCAUAUCUCCUGCCUGGAUUUUCUUCUGAGCUGCUUACCUCAGUUCUUGUUUGAUGGAACACUUUUCAAGAGGCUGGUAGAUGUUUCUUUGCCUUCUCCCUACUUCUCUCAGUUUCUUCUAGUGCAGUAUAGCCUAUCAGUCUUCCUGUGAAAGGACCUUCUCUCAGUGAAGGCAUCCUGGGAUCCAAUACUCAUCUUAAUCCCAUCUUGAGUUAGCAUCAUUUUGGAAUUCCACCCUCUCUGUGGGAUGAAAAUCUUGUAUUAAGCACAUGAGGCACAUAAUAGGAGCCUAUUAUGUGCCUCGUGUGAAUACUAAAAUGUAAAAUUUAAUGUAAAAAGUCAGAACUUUGGAAUUAGCAACAAUUAAAUCAAAAAGCUAGGGUACAUUGUCCAGUGAUACGAGGGCUUGCUAAAGGAGGUAAUCCAUGAAUUGCAAGGAGUAAUCCAUGACGUUCACACUGCGUGUCACAGGCUUACCUUGCAUCAGGGUAAGAGGAUACUACGACAAUUUGAAUUUUGAAAAGGAAAUAAGGGAUUCUCACAAGAUCUGCAUUUCUAUUUAAUGUAGCGUAAGACCUGAUAUGGAAAAACAGGCAGCAAAAGACUUUGCUCUCCUUACUUAUAGUUGAGAAAGCCUCAGAAAUUAGAAGUACAGAGUAAGCAUGUCUAAUCCCUGACCAGGGUAAGGGUGUUGGAACUUGAUGAUCCUUGGGGUCACUUCCAAACCAAGACAUUCUAUGAUUCUAUCAUCCAAGCAAGAACAUUGGGCACAUAAAGUUAAAAUGAAAAUUCCCAAGGUGAACAUUAAGAUGCUGAGAAUAAUUAUAAAGAAGUGACUGGGGAAAAGAUGGACUGAAAAUGUUGAAAGAGUAAGCAUUAAGUAGCAUUGCUAUUUUAAAUGAUGUCUAGACAACGGGUGAUGGGAUUUUAAAAAGCUGUUGAUUACUCCUCAUUGUAACAUAAACCCAAAGUUCCGAAAGCUUCUGAGAAAAAAACUGGAACCCACCCAACAUUUCUUGAUAGCAAUGGGAAAUUUUCCACUGCUGUCCCUGAAGACAUUUGCUCAUGGACAGAUACAAGAACAGGCUGUUAACGGUGAUCGAACAGGAGAUAAUUUUCCUAUUACGCUAUGACUAUAUUAACAAACCAGCUAAAUAACCUGUGAUGAAUCAGUGUGUAAAAUCACACCGUCAACUCCAAGCCUGCUAUACAGGUGGAGCCCUGCUGUGUACUUAGAUCAAGCAGGAAUUCUGGUGCAGAACAGGCUGGUUUGUUGCACAUUUAGUAGCUGCAAAACAUCUACAAAUGUUAUGUUAGGACACCUGAAACCACCAGCUGUACUGUUUCACACUGACUAUGGUAGCUAUGAAAAAAAAACCAAGAAGGCUUUAGGUAAAAGAAAAGGAAAACAUGACACGAGGCACAGUAACAUAAGACUGACUCAAGAUGAUGCACUAAGUCAGAAGGAUAAGUAGCAGUGCAUUAUAACCUCAGGUAGCUGUCGGUCAAAUUCUCUCAAAUUGAAGUCUCCAUGUUUCUCUUUGGUGUCAAAAGUUGAUUUCUCCACCCAGAAGGGUGUAAAGCACUGUGAGCUGCUUCACUCUUCAAGUUGAAGAACAUUGCCUGAGAGCAUGUGGUGUGCUCAGACUCUUCCCUUCCUUCUCCCUGAAAUGGUGCUGGCCUUGAAUAUUAAGUAAAUAAGCAACCCAAGGGUUCUGACUCUGGGCAGCCUGGUCUAGUGGUUGGCAACCCUGCCCAUGGCAUGGGGGUUGAAACUAGAUUGCCUUUGUGGUCCUUUUCAACCCAGGCCAUUCUAUGAUUCUAUGAAAGAAGGUCAAGAGAAAAAUUGCUAGGCAAUCAUUUUUUGCCUCCUGGUUAUCUACAUCAGUAGUACAGUCCCCUGACCAUCCAGCUCGCAGCCUCUGGAUCAGACGUGGGCAUAAAGCUCAGCUGAAAUACAAGCUAGUAUUGCCAAUCCAGUUCCAAAAAGCUACAGAACAGAGACAUUUCAGAACUGGGUGGUUCUUUUCCCCCAAACUGUUGAGAAACCCCAGCUGAAAACGUGGCAAAGAAGAGCUGUGAACAAUUGGGCCUCAACUUGUCUGUAAAUCCCAGUGAAAUGAAUUAAUGUAGACUAUUUUUUUUCCAGUCAAAUGAACUCCUUAGCCUGCUACAGAUUUUCAUAUGUACUUCCUCAAUUUAAGAGUUUUCAGGCUCUCUCAUCUGUUCCUAACUACAUCCUGUAAUUUCCAGUGCUGGUUGCUGCACUUUAAAUCUGGACAGCACAGCUUACAUGUACUUAUCAGUGACUCAUCCACAUAUUUGAAGAUCUUAAGAAUGAAUCACAUAUACAUGUUUGCUGAAUCCCCUCUGCUGUCUGUGAAGAAAGGCUCACACUGACGGAAUGCAGAACAGAGCAAGACGAGAGACUUUGAUGUUAAGGGACUUUAUAUGAGUGUGUUCUCUGAAGAGACGAUUUAAGCCUGUUUAUUAAGUCAUGCUGACUUUGUUGUUAAGCUCAGACAGGGACACCUUAACACAUCCUUCAGUUUUUUGGGCAGUAACUGAGCAUGAGAUACAGUUAAAAUGUUUGCUUUUAAAUCUGGUAUUUAAAAUAGGGUUGGGGUUUUUGUUUGUUUGUUUGCUGCUGUUAUAACAGCACUCUGUCAAAUCACAUCAGAGGAGAAAGUGUCACUCAGCACAAUAGGCCACAGUCUGCAUGUAAAUUGUCUUAAAUCUUCUCUUUCAAAUGUCAGCUGACAAAUCAAAAUGAGAAUAGGCUAUGCAGCAAAAAAAAACCCAGCCAUACAUUAAAGACUUAACACAAGGCUCCUGUCUACUAAUGUCUGAGAGCUCCAAAUGCAGAGAAACCACACAGAGUUAAUGAUAAUUGAUAUCAUAUGGUCUUUAUCAAAGCUUCCUCAAGAAAAGCAGCUUAAGGGAAAAUCCGUAAAUGUGUGUCUUGACCACAGUCUACCAAUCUUCUUCCGCAUUGGAGCCUUUAACUAAUUUGUUGGUUUAAUUACUGAGGCACAGGAAAGUUUGCAAGAGUGAUAAUUGCAUAUUCUUUGAUUGCUGAUCAUUACAUUAAGUGGUCUCUAUGAAUUAAAAAUAAAACCCAAGUGCCAUGUGUGCAUCUAGGAAACCAGCCCCUAUCUAAAUCUGGACAUACAAGCUUACUACUGCUGGCUGACGGCACAAAGCAAAAAAACAACAGUGAAGUUCCAAAAACCUGUAAUUGCUGUGACAGUUAACUGCAGCCUAUGAAAUUUUGGGAUUCAAAGUGGGUCAGGCAAGAUCAAUGAGACAUCGGGCUCUCGUUUAAGGGCAGUUUAGAGGCUUGUUAGGUAACUUCUCAUGUGCCACAUACUUACAUCUUUAAUUGGACCGGGUAGUAUAGCCUACUGCACAAUUCUGAACUAGCGCCAGAGGAAUUACUAGAAGGUCAAACGGAAGAGAGAGGCAGGGGGAGGAGGAAGUGGUAAUUGAAGAGACAAGAGAUGAUUGUGAAAGUACUUGGAGGAGCCUGUGUGUCUGGCAAGAUGCAAUGGGCCAAGCUACAAACAGGAGGCAAGGCACUUACUGGAAUAACGUCUUUGCUCACUUCCCUCCCAGCCUAGAGCAAUGCCAUCACUAACUGACCCCACCAGCUGCCAAAGUAACAAAGCACUCUAGUGGCUAAUUAAUUGCAGUAUCUACCACAGUGUUUUGCCCAGAAAUAUGGGCUGUAUGAUCACACAGUGAUCAAGCAUAUAACUACAGAUGGCUCUGGUAAAAUACCUUUGCCUUCAAGAAAGAGAGAACAGCAAAGAGAACAGAAAUGAAAAGUAGAGAGAUGACAGCAAAACACCAUAGCCAAAAGCUGAACAGUCUUGUUUCAGUUCUGGUUCAGCUUAGAGGAGGCUGCCUGUGCUUUCCACUGUCCAUCAAAAGGACCGUUUUAUAAAUGUUUGCAUCAUUCUGCAAUAAAAGUUGGUCACUGUUCACAUAGAAACCUAGGAUCAGACCUCAUGCAUCAAAAUAGUUUCUCACAUACAUUAGUUAAGAAAAAAAUGAAAUGUAGCUUGAAAUAUUAAAAAAAAAAAAAAGCUUACUUAGACUCCCCCCCCCCCCCCCCCCCCCCAAUUGGUUACUUAGAUCCUAUUUUAUUUUUUUUCCCUACAAUCAUAUCAGGAAGAUAGAGCUGAUGCCAUGGGAAUAAUGGAAGAGUUCAAAUCACAACCUGAAACACAAAUGGGAAAAGAGACUCACAGAAUCUCAGAAUGUCUGAGGUUGGAAGGGAUCUCUGGAGGCCACCUGGUCCAACCUCCUCAACCCCUGCUCAACCAGGGCUACAUCCAGCAGGUUGCCCAGGGCCAUGUGCCCAGGCACCUUUCAAAGAUCUCUAAGGAAAGAAACUCCACAAUCUCUCAGGGUGACCUCUGUGCCAGUACUCUGUUAGGCUCACAGCAAAUGCUGAGCCUCCUCCAGGCUAAACAGCCUCAGUUCUCAGCCUCUUCUCAUAGGAGAGGAGCUCCUAUCCCCUCAUCACCCUGAGCGUCCUGCAUUCAACACUUCCCAGUAUGUCCAGAUGUCUCUUGUACUUGAGUUUUGUAACGUCCUUGUUAGCCCAACUCUCCAGCCCACCAAGGCCCCUCUGGAUGGUAACACAGCUUUCAGGUCACUGGGAGAACAGUGAAGGGGCACCUUGCGUCACAGAGAACUCAAAGUGCAAAAGCUUUAAAACCAGAAAAGGCUGCACUGGAAAUCAUGAGAGAAGAAUUUGAACGGUAGCACUAGAGGUGGCAACUGAGAGCCCAAGAGACAUCAAGAGACAACAAAAGAAGCUACAUUCAAAGUAACAUAAAUCAAGAGUCGGAUGAUUACAGUUAAUCAGAGCAAGCAGUAGCAAAUGUUGAAUAUCUAGUCUGCCUGACUGUGAGUGGACCAUUUACCUAAGAGAAAAUCUGGCAUUUAGAGCACUUUUAGAGCAGCCCUAAUUUUACCCGUUUCUUAGGUUUCCAAGGAUUGCUCAUGCAGAUUGAAUGGACUCAGUAUCUUCAGCAUUCUGCUAAUCAUUGUUUAUUAGUGUUACCUUAUACCUGGAAAACGUACUUUAUAAAUCCCCCAAGUCAUAUUUCUGAAUUAUCACCACCUCCACUCUGUGUAGUUAAAAAACUUUACCUCGGUUUUCAGAAUGUCUCCUCAGAUCUCCAUGCACCACCUUUUUCUUAUGUAUACAAACACACUGCUUUGAAGAAGCUAUUCUAACUUGCAGUGGUGAAUUUAUGAUGCCAAAGCUAUAUAUAGGCAGAGAAUGGAGAGCUCCUUAAGCAGCAUGCCAAAACUGGAUUUGAAACACUUUGUUAUUUGAAAGCAUUAAAUAUAUAACAAUGUUAUUACAGCUAAAGCCCCUAUACUGUCUUGAAUUUUUUUCCUUCAAAAAUAUGGAUGGGAUGCAUAAACAAGAGGGCUUGUUGCUUGAACUACUUUGAAAGGUGCUUCCAGAGCAAUUUCCAUUCUCAAAAAGAACAUGCAUCUAUAAUUAAUAAACUAUUUGUUUUUAAUGAGUUCUUUUUUUGUGCAACAUGUACUUUCAAUACAGCUAUGAUAUAUCUAUAAUGCACACCACUUGCCAAGACAGAUGCUACAAUCACAAGGAAAGGAUAUUUAAGUGUUUGUGCAGUAUUUUCAGAGUUGUACUGUAAAAUGCAAAGCCACAACAGUUAUCAUCAUUAAUUCAAGUUUAAGGGCACAAAAAAUUCAAUAUUAAGUACUGUCCUCUACAACUGCUCUGAGACUAAUGCACUGAUAUUCUACUGUGUAAAAGUAUAGAUAGCGUUUCUGCUAAUGGGUUUUUGAAGCAUGCACCAAACACUAAAACACUUGCAGACAUAUCAACCAGCUUUUUUUGCUUGUGAUCCGUUUCACUCUGCAUUGUCAUCACUCAUGGGGCAAAAGAUAUUGGCAGACCGAGACCAAACUUGGAGAUGUUGACAAGAACUUGGUAGCCUGGUUACAAAGAGGAAAGGAGUUAAAAAAUUUAUGCUGACACUGAACAGUAGGUCUUUAUGACACUCCUCGCUUUGUAUAAUUCUGUUGCAUCUUCCCUUGUCAUUCCUUGCACAGAAAUCAUGCAAAGCUCAGAUAAUCCUAGCAAUCUUUUCUGGAGUUCUUCUAGUCACUCACAUCCUUUUAGGGAUGAAAGGACCAGGACUCCAAAUGCUGCUUUACACAGACAGUGCAACAGAUUCACAGUGUUACAGCGCUCUCCAAUCCUAACGUUUGAGUUUCUCCUUCAGCUUCUACUGCAGCCAGAAAACGAUUUCCAUACAGGUGGAAAUAACUGCAGAGAGCUUAUCUUUGCAAAUGUAAAGAGAGCAAUUCUCUCACCCUCCUGUGUAGCACCACUUCAGCUGCUUUGUGUAUCUUGCCACACAAGUCAUUUAAUUGCCAUGUCCUUUUGCAGCCCAUUGUAGUUGACCCUCAGCUCUAUUCCCCAAAAAUGCCCGGUAUCAUGAGCACACUUUGCCAUCAUAUGGUUCACACUCUCCUCCCACUCACUGCUGGGUAUUUGAACAUGAGAAACCCCUGUACAACCUGCUGGGUGGAGUUUCCCAUUCUUUUUCUUAUUGAACCCAUGGCUUGCACAUUUAUAAAACUAAUUAUUACCUUCUUCCUUUCUUUUCCUUUCAUUCUAAGGGCACCAUCUUGCUCUAGACUCCCUCUCCUCAACCGUGCAGGCAAUUUGCUAAAGAUCCUUCUUAGACCUUUGUUGCUUUAUUGUGAAUUUAGCUAUCGAUACCGUCUUUUGAUAACAGGAGCUGGAAGUACUUUGUUUUGAUAUUUUUGAUGUUCACGUUAAACAUCAUCGGCUCCCAGCAAACAAAGAUCUGGAAGUUGGCUUCACAUCUUGUCUAUAGACAGCCCAGAAAUCUAUCAGGAGACAAGGUGACUGCUUCUUCCAAGUCCAUUUCAGUCUGGUGCUUUCAAGAGGAUCAUGACUGGAGCAGAGAUUUCUGGAACCCGAGCCAAAAAGCACUGAAACCUAAGUGUCAAUCUAAGCUAUUGUAAAACACGCACCAUUCUGCACUGGGGUUGAAGCCAGUUAAUGCUUCCACGUUAAUUUCUUUGUUUCAUAUGCCACUUAAUUGCUUAGUGUCUUGGGUCGUAUCUAUCUAUCUAUAUUAUCUUGCAGAAAAAAACUGGGAUGCCUUGAACUAUAGCAGAGUAAGAUGUGGAGGGAAGAUGGGACCACCUCCAGAUCCCUUAACACAGGUCUCUUACAGUCUGGGGAAGAAAGUACAGAGCAGAAUAUAUUAUGUAGUAGGCUCUCAGAUUUUCCAAUUUUCUUUGGUUUUAAGUAGCUCUGCCACCUGCCUGCCCCACUAAGGUAGUCAGUCUGAUAGAGCAGGACAGAAGAAGACUGCCUCAGCCUGCUCCUCAUGAGAAUCAUAGAAUCACUAAGGUUGGAAAAGACCCACAGGAUCACCCAGUCCAACCAUCCACCCAUCACCAAUAGUUCUCACUAAACCAUGUCCCUCAACACAAUGUCCAAAUGUUCCUUGAACACCUCCAGGGUCAGUGACUCCACCACCUCCCCGGGCAGCCCAUUCCAGUGCCUGACCACCCUUUCAGAGAAGCCUCACUGCAGAUCAUAAGCUCUGAGUUUUAGCAGCCCAAACUUUCCUAUGAAGUCAGUGUUCCAGCACUCCUUUAAAUGCAGAGUUUAGUCUCCCUGCACUGAAUUUGGCACUACCAGCAUAGCACAGAAAAGGCUUCACAGGAGGCAGAAUCAGGGCAGGAGCAUUUUCCAUGCAUUUUGAGAUUUUUCACCAGUAGCAGACAUGACUCGAAGUCCCUCUCCACUGAACCACCAGUUACACGCAAAGCAUCUUUCUGAUGCUCCUCAGUGGGUGUCCGUAAAGACCUUCUCCCUUUACCAUUAGAUCACAUUACCGUAUUCUUGCUGAAAGUUUACCUCAUCCUGAAAAUAAUUUGGUUACUUUAGCCUGCUAUGUGGGUUUGACUGCAAGGACUCUGUGUUUGCAACUUACUGUUUUAAAUGAAUUUAAAUGGCUCUGACUGAAAUUGAUAUUCAAUGGGAAGUAGUUAAUCAUUAAUGAUAUCCCUACAUCUAAAAUCAAACACAGACUGAUGGGCUCCCUAUCUCAAUAAGCUUCCACCAUCGGGAGAUAGCAAAUGGGACUGUAAGUCAGUGUAAACACAAGGCAAAAGAGAAAUGUAAAUUACAUGGUUUAGCUUAGUGGGCAAAACUGAAAUACUUUUCAUGCUACCUAGCCUGCUCUGUGGAGAUGAAUACGUUCAUCCCUCAUAUAAAGCACAUACUUGACAUGACUUGUAAUAGGGCCCUAAACACAAAAGAGAGUCAGCUGACCACAUAGCCCCCUCUGCCCAUAUUCCUGCACAUUAAGAAACAGACUAAAAUCCUGAUGACCUACUAUCAUAAUCAGAAGGCAAAAAUGUUUGAUUUUUAUCUUGCUGCUCCUCACAAAUCACAAGUCUGCCACAAAAAUUCCGGGUCCACAAAAAUUCCCCUCACUCCAAGACAUUUUAUAUAGAACUGAAUGUACCAUAAAUGAACUGCAACUUCAUGUUUGUAUCCAAACACUGAUACAACAUUAUUUCUGGAAAUAAACAGUCUCAUCCCUCUUUUACAUUAAAUCAAUUCAUUGUUUUUCCGUUUGUAUUCUUUGUGAUGUUCCUCCAAACACUCCACAAAUUACCUAGCUUUUAGAAAGCCAGGAGCUGUUUGCUGUUUUUUCCCCCUCCUCUUUAAACUUGAAUGCAGCUUGAGAUUCUUAAGAUCUCACAUUAGGUUUAACUGCUUCGCUGUAGACCUGGUGGCACCAUUGAGCAAAAGGGAGGGUUCUGACACACGGUGAAGAUGUGCUCGUUUCUGUGGCCAACAAAGAGCCAAGGCGACCCCUGUUAUUACGGCUAGUGAGACUAGAUUUACCAUAUUAUUAAUCAUUAAAGUCUGACUCAAAAUUCAGACUGGCUUGUACUUAUUCCUUGGGUCAGGGAGCUUUAUCAGAGCUCAUUAACUGCAUUGGGCUUCUCAUUUACUCAUUCUGCAGCAAUCUUUUUCCUAAUGCGUGAGGGGAAAAAUGAAACACCAGUGAUUUAACUGUUUGAGGGAUAUUUACUGCUUGAUCUCCACAAAUAGAAGCAGCAGGAGUAUUUUGCUUGUCAAGAGGACGGUAAUUCUUCAAAUCCCUCUUAAGAGAUAAUGACUGGCAGCGUAAUGCUUUUGAUCUGUCAUAAUUAUAAAAUAAAAGAGAAUGGAUGCAAAGCUCACGUGCCAUGGGAAGGUCAGUUGCUUUUAAAUGCCUAGGAUUCCCUCUGUGGCUAAUCCCAGCAUGUCCUGAACACAGGCUAUUUUUAGGCACAAUUGUGGGUCCGUUAGACAUCCUGUUCAUAUAAAAUGAGUGCCUUACUGGUGAGCUUCUCCUGUAGGGCAGCUAAUAAGUAGGUAGGAAAAUGACAUCUCUGUACUUUUGACUUGCAUGCUGUUGCAAGGAAGGACAGCAGGAACGUCUCCUCUCUGGCGUCAAACAGUCCCCCUGCAGCACACACACAAUUUAAAUUAUUACAAGUAUGAAUGCCGGCACAAAAUAAAGUAAUUACAUUUAAUUAGGCAGCCAAAAAAGUGAUGGCCUGGGACUCCCUGCCUUAGAUGUAGCCUUUUGUUGACUUAACACAAGACAGGUAAUGAAUGAAACUUCAAAGUGUAAGCAACUGAAUUGCUACUUAAUUAGCGGAGCCCUAGUCAACAACACAGCAAAACACAACAAAACAAAACCCUCAAUUUUUAUUUAUUUUUGUUGUUAAACGAAUUCUAACAGCUAUCUCAUGCCUCACAGAAAUAACGAAAUUAAAGACUGUUCUAUUAAGAUCGUGUUUGUGUUCAAAAGUACAGAGAUGUAUUUUGGUUGUGUUAAUGAAGAGCCCCUGAAAGGUGCUAGAUUGGCAGCCCUGGAGCAUGACAUUACCCACAAGAGGACUUGGUGCAAACAAGUCACUAGCUCACAAAUCUCACUUCCCUGCCAAGCAUCAAGUACAGGGAGUCAAUUCUAUCAGUGUUCUGAUCUGCUGGUACAACCGCACCAAGAAACCUAGCAUAGGGAGAGAGGUUUCAGAAGUCAGAAAUGAUGAAAGACAUAGAUAAAGAAAAGUAGGUAUAUUGAAACACUGAUUUUCUUAUGAACAAGUCUCUCUGAUUUGCUUUUUCAUAUCUAGAAUCCCAUAGGUUGCCACAGCUCAUCUCUGGAAUCCUUUUAUGCUGCCAUAAACUUCCUACUGCUUUGUUGUACAACUGAAAGUGAAAAGCAAAGUGCGCCUGAAUAGCACAGUGAGUUCCUCUAUCCUGUCAUCUUUGGGCCAGCAUUUUAUUCUAACGUCAGAGAUGAAAGCAGGCUGUUUAUAGUUUUCAUCCCAUUCCUCAAAUGCUUAUGUCAAAAAGUCGGGAAUUUUAAGUUUCCCCUCCUCAGAAGCACUCAGGAUGGACUGGUAGGAGCCUCAGCAACCACUGCAGUCUUUACUUCAUGUCUGCCUACAGACAUAUUUUUCUUUGGAAGAUCAGCUAGAAGGGAAAAAUAACAUGUAGCAUUAAGAUUUCUGCCUGUCAGAGGUUUCCUCUCUCAGCCCUCUUCAGCUCAACAGCCCACUCAUCACCAGCUAACAGGUAGAGUUUUGUUAGGGGGCUUCAUAUUACGUCUCAGAUAUCACAAGUUAAGACUGACAACUGCACAUCCCUCUCCCUCUGCACCUCACCGAAACAUGACAUGGAUACCAGUUUCUGCAGGGGUGAUGCGAAGAUCAAAAACAUAUUCCACAGCCACCUGUGGUUUGCAGUACAAAUAGCGGUAACGAUGCAUCUGCUCUUCAAAGAUAUAAAAUUAGUACCUACAGAAAGCAGCACUGUGUGUUUGCUAACCUUUUCCCCAGCACUAUGGACAACACUGGACUUACAGCUUUGUUAGUAUACUCUUCUGUCAAUAAACACAGCAGUUUGGAAAUGAUUCUGCUGCAUCACUGAAGUCAACAGGAUCAUGAUGUAGUCCUCUGCACUGUUUCUUUUAAGGACCAUGUCAGAAAAAGACUCAAGUGCAAAAUAGAGAGAGGAGACGAAGAAAUUCAACAGAGUUUCAGCAAGUUCUGGAACAGACAAAGCAAGAACAAGUACGGCACUAAAAAGACCUACGGGACAGAAGAAACUGGAUUUAAAUUAGACUCCUCAUAGCAUAGGAAAGACUUUUGCUGAGAGAGAAAUUCUGAAGUGUUAUUUGAAUUUUUGUUUUCCAGGACCAUAACUGCUUCCUCAGUUUAUCAGCUGUACCUGCAAAGGUGGUAGUCAGGUAAGACUUGAGAAAUCUUCUGCAGCUCUCCUUUGCUUCUCUUGUACUUAAACUGCUUGCAGGCCAGAGGAACGCUAAGCCCCACAUGCAGGCUUAACUUCCCACACAGCCUGACAAUUGCAAAGCAAGGAAUUACUUGGUAAUGAAUAUGAUAGCCACAAAUACCAAGGGGUUAAAAAAAAAAAAAAAUCACAAGAGAAGAAGGAAUAGAAAAGAAAUAGAAGAAACAAAUGUUUGUACAGAAGUAUUGCUUUCCUUCUAUGUGAUAAAUUCAGUAGUAUUUAGGGUUAAAAAGGAGGCCUCAUUGAGAAAGCCAGCCUAAAGCCCAGUAGCUUAGUAUUUCUGCAGAUCUCUGUGAUCCUAAAAUGCAACUUUAAUAAAAAGACAUACAAUUAAGUUGAGAGGCCUACGAUUGACUGAAAUUCACUGCUUCACAAUUCAGGGUGACAGUAAGAGAAUUGCUUUGCUCAUAUUCAUUACAACAUUAUAAAAAGGUUUUUGUCUUCUAAUACGAGCUUUUUGUGGGGGACAAAGAGGUUUGCUGCCAGAAAAAAGUUCAACAAUUUAAUGGCAAAGCCAGUUACAGCCUAUCUUUAAUGCACUUGCAAAAAUUAAUUCCUUUCACAGUUGACAGCAAGUUUUAAGCCAACUCCGUCCUCUGGAGCAGAGACAGAUUUAGAUUGCUUCAAGGACAGGAGCACUCCUCUAUCACCAUCUCAAAGAGACAUCCUGGCAACAGCACAGAGACCUUAUGGUGCCUGACUCUCAGCUGCUAGCACAUCCAUGCUGCUGAAGCGCUGUCAGGGACAGAAUCACAUCUACUAAAGAAAGUAAAAAGAAUUUCUGCAAAGAGUUUUCAUGCAGAAAAAAAUUAUAGUAAACCAUCUCCUUUUUUUUUUUUUUUUAAUUAACUUUAAUCAAAUUCUUUCUCCUGUCUGAGCAGACCAGCUUAACUUUGAGAUAGGAAACUUUACAUUCUACCAUGCAAUUCCAUUGUGUACCAGUAAGGUCUCCAUCAGAGAGCUGUGUCCUUACAUUUUGGGAAAGGUAAGGACCAGCUGAAGCAAGCCCAGAAAGUCUUUCCUGUGGCACCCAUCAGGAAUAACUUGUCUUUUCCAUUCCUUUUUGACUGACAGAGAAGACAUACUAUAACCAUCCUCAAAAAGAUAAAAAGACACUGCAGGCCAUAAGGAAAUGAACUGCCUAUCCUAGGGGUGUGCCAUGGAUAAGAUCAGAAGUAAUGGGUUUAACGGAUUGUUAAAUACUGGGAGAGCGUAUACGUGAAAACUACAAAGCUUUGGCAACUGAGACAACACAAGAAUCUCACAGGAAUAACUUAGAUUUCCGACUGGGCAAGGCGCAGGCCUUGAAGACUCACAAGGUCCCUUCCAGCCCUCUUUCUUCUAUAACACUAUUUUCCCAGUGUUUAACAUUUCUCAGAAGAUAGGGAAAUACCUACUAUGCCCAAGCAGAGUCACACCCCAGCCAAAGGCUAAAAAGUGAGACGGAGUCCUCAGCAUCCUCAGGGGCAGAGUUCAAUCUACUUUGGCAGCAGAAGAACAUGCCCUGGAGGAAGCAAAGCAUGUGAGGGUAGUGCACUGGGGAUUGAAGUGUGAGGGAUGAGGAAAAUCCCUCUUUCCAUCACUCGCUUUCCUUCUUCCUUUGAGGCAUGUGCUAACAGCCCUGCACAAGUCCCCUGUGUACUCCUUUCACACUGUGUACUCCUACUAUACCUUCUACUCAUCUCUGGAUCCACCAGUCCUCUUAAAUAAAGUGGGAAGGCAGGGGGAGGAAGGCAGAAAGUUGAAAACAGUCUCUCCCCUCAACACAUAAAAGAUGAAAGAUAGAGCUGGGAGGAAAACUAGCAGAGAUUUUGGAGGGUAGGUCUUUCUCUGCUGCUGCCUGUAAGGUAGGAGGUAGCAGCUACUACAGGAAAGGUUCAUUCUUGCUAUACAGGCAGGACACUCUCCUGCAAGGCUGGCACAGCCUCUGACUGUGACCUGAGCCGGAUCAAGGUGAUGGACAGCCUGAACUCUGACUUGGAUUUGCAGACUCAGGGGGUUUACACCCAAAUUUCUUCUUGGGGGCUGCAAACAGGAGCUCCCCUUUGGCAGACCUUGUGAUAUCAGGAAGUAUAUAACAACAGAUACCUUUCACUCCACACUUGAUGAGGUUUGUGUGGAUUCAUGCUAAUACUACAUUUCCAAGACAAUAUAUAAACUCGGUCUGAAAAGGCCGGAGAAUGAGAAGGAUGAACAUGCGAGCCUGAAGAUAACCUUGAAUCACCCUUAUGUGUGUACACUCAGAUAAUGCAUUAGGAAGCGCACUUGUGAUAUUUUGAUAGUUAAGCUCUGUAUGGGUAUUCUUCCCUCUCUGUAAGUUAGUAAAGCCAGUGCUAUGUUAGACACAAGUAGAUCUUUCCAAAACAAACUGGCCAUUUGCCAAGAGAGGUUUACAUAUGGCACAAGCAAGGCAGCGCAGAGGUGCGGUGAGCAGCUUCCAUAACCCAGUUAUUGAGGAAUGCUGUGCUAAAUUCGUGCUAAAGAUAAAUCAUCUUUAUAACCUUCUUCACCAGUUCAUCCUAAUCCAAAUUUCUGAAUGUGGGCCACCCUGUGAGGUAUGGCUAUUUGGAAAGCAACAUGAGAACAGACGUUUCCAUCGAACCAGUCCAGCUUCAAAAGACAGCCCAAAGGCAUCUUAGCAUAGGCCUGUACAAGCAAGAGGGAGGGAUCAGCAGCUCACCCUAACACCAGAGCAACUCACUCAUCUUUUCAACCAAAGGCUAAUGCCCCAGUUUACCUCCCUACUCCUUCAUGCUAAAGACAACUCUGAGCAUACCACCAAAAACUCUGAUUUUGUCUUUUCUAAUAACCCAGGAUUGUACUAAACUCUGAAGCACAAGAAAAGCCAGAUUUGUUGGAUGGCCUCAAACAAAGGGAUACAGCAAAGAGUGGAGGUAAAAGCAUACAAACUGGCAGCCUAGCAUUUCAUUAGAAUUACUUACUUAUUCCAAGGCACAUAGAACAUGCAGAAAAGAGCUUUUGAAGGAAGGGCUUCAAAAAGGAAUUUUCCUACGCUGCUUGUAUCAUGUAAGUAUUCUUCCAAUCACGUUUGCUGCAGUAAAGGAAUUGUUUUUAGUUGCUAACAGUUUUAAAGUCUUAGCACACUACACUUUUGAGAAGCAAUACACCUCCAUUGAAUUUGACAGGUAUUUUCAGCUCUAUAAGAGAACCAAGGCACUAAUAACCUAAUGAUAGUCUGCCCUAAUGUCACUGAGUAUCUCUUGUCACUAAAGUAUGGACAAGCAAAUCUAAAGAGGCAGCUUUAUAAAUACUUCCUCACUCAGGAAAAAAAGCCACAGGAAGAAAACAGGUCUCAGGAAAUGUAAAAAAACCAUCGUUUUCAGAUUAUUGCAAGGGGAAAUGGUCAAAACCAUGCCCAUUUAGAGUAGCACUCUUCACCUUUUCAACACAAAAUUGGAGUACUUUUCUAAAAGCAGAAAACUUCAUAAUGUCUCGAAGAGGUAGAGGAGAAAAUCAGGCAGUUAAGGAGAGCCAGACACCACAAACUCUUGUGCAUUGGAGACAGGGCAUGAUAAUACUUAAAUACUAACCAUGAUGUCAGAUGAUGAUACUGGAGGAGACAAAGAGAAGGAGGAAAGGGAUGUUUUUUCAGGCUGAGAUCCAGAACAGCUCCUGUUCUCCACCAUAAAAGCUGGAGGAGCACCACAGAGCCAUUGCAGAUUGAAGACAAUGAGUUCUUUGCUGUAAAUCAGGAUGCUCCUUUCUAGCGCAAUUAAAUAUUAGAGUCAAUUAAUUCUAUCAAUGUACUUCAUAGUUCCCUAUUAUGUAUUUCUGUGAUUAUGUGGUUUCUUACAGCUUAAAACACUAGAUUUGUUAAAUGUUGAGUACUUCAUAACUGCAGUUACUCUUCUGACCUGCAGCUGUAAGCAAAUACAGUUUGAAGUAAUUAGACUGAAACACCCAAGACUCAGCAACCAAAGCACAGAACAGCUUUUAAUUGAGAAAAGUUCAACUGUACCUUUCUACUCCUUAAAUGGGCUUAAAAGCUUAGGUAGAAGCAUCUGUUUUUUGAAACACACAUGGUUUUUACUAUCCUAUAUUCUUGUUUAGGAGAAGCUCACCAUUGCUACAAUAGCAGCGUAAAUGUACGAAAUGCUUGUGGUCUACCAAAGAAAAGGGAGCACAAGGGCAUUAAAAUCCUUGCAGAAACCAGAGCACAUAGACUGGCACACUCUUUUGGGCCAUGUGUACUGGUUACAAAGCAACAACAACAAAGAUAUUACAACUGCUUUGUUUCUAUGAUUAUGUUUCACCUACAGAUGCCAUUAUUGAAACUUGGUAAGUGUGGAUUUGAUUUUUGCAAGAUUGAAAGAUGCUCUUAUACACGCACAUUAAAUAUUCACUGUGGUUUUUCUUACUAGAGGAUAAGGGGCCACACAAAAGAAAUAUUAAGAGUUAAACCCUGAGGUGAAAACUUAUCUGCAGCCAGUGUUUUCAUACCGUGAGCUCACAUACUCACUGAGCUGCAUGGUAUUUAACGUUUUUGCUUCCAUCCAUUUAAGUGUCCUUUAUGUCCAGCAAUUUUUAGCCAAUCUUUUCUUCCUACUCUCCUCAUCAGACAAGGCUUGGUGUUCCAGAUUUAAUGCAGGUGUUUCUCCCUGAUUCAGUCAGGGAGUCAGACUCAUUUGGGCAACCGAGUUGACUCAUUACUGUUCAAGCAAAUUCCCCAAAAACUAGAAAUACACACAGAAAAGGGAUAGAUACACACCAGAAAGUAACACUCAGAGGCCACUGGUGACAGUAAUUCCCCUUGACAUAGAUGUUGGAGCUGCCUCCAGCUCUGAUAAAAGAGCAUCAGGAGCUAAAAUGCAGCACUGUGUACCUGUGGGGAACCUUCCUGGACUUAGAGUAAAGCCUCAGCACCUCUGAGCCUAGCAACACAGAGCUCCCAGGACAAGGAGCAUCAAGAGCCUGGGCUCCACAGAGCCAGCACUGCACUCUGGGUGGUGAACAGCCUUGUUGAUGCAGACAGGGAGUAAGGGAACCUUAUGAUCUUUCAUUUCUUCCUUCGGUUAACAUCUUACAGUGCACUGAUAUCUUGCCCAGCAGAUACAUCAUCACUACAGUCCCAUCUGGGCUAUCCCAUCCUUUCAGACUACAAGUUAUGAGUAGAGCAGCCUGCCACCAUUUUUAACAGAACCUCAGUGCAGCAACUGUGGCCAAGAUGCAACUAAACACUUUCUGAGUACAGUACUGAAGUUUCAUGCUACAGAUUGGGCACAACCCCUUCCAGAGCUCAAGUUCAGUUGUUAUCACAGGUAUUGUCAGUUCUAUGCUAUAGGGUUUGUAAUCCAGAGAGAAGAUGUGACCUCCUCCCCAGCAGAUGAUACUAGAUUAGUAUUUUAACUGUCUUCAGUAAAUUUGGAUCAGAUUGAGGGUUCUUGCUUGUUCUGCAUCCCAAAGUCCAGCCUAACAACUGUGUCUUCUAUUGACUGCAAUACCAAUUGAUACCUCUCAAUCCAGACCAGGUGUGGAAAACC
This 33106-nucleotide long non-coding RNA is filed under the name Gallus gallus (chicken). RNAcentral describes it as "lncRNA (ENSGALG00010023484.1)". The record is from RNAcentral. Lineage: Eukaryota; Metazoa; Chordata; Aves; Galliformes; Phasianidae.